Molecule: transfer RNA, 76 nt
Filed under: Desulfoluna butyratoxydans
Lineage: Bacteria; Pseudomonadati; Thermodesulfobacteriota; Desulfobacteria; Desulfobacterales; Desulfolunaceae
Also listed under: 3 other names
Description: tRNA-His
Rfam family: tRNA
About the family: Transfer RNA (tRNA) molecules are approximately 80 nucleotides in length. Their secondary structure includes four short double-helical elements and three loops (D, anti-codon, and T loops).
Source: RNAcentral
GUGAGCGUAGCUCAGUUGGUAGAGCCCCGGAUUGUGGUUCCGGUUGUCGCGGGUUCAAAUCCCGUCGUUCACCCCA